Molecule: long non-coding RNA, 476 nt
Filed under: Daucus carota (carrot)
Lineage: Eukaryota; Viridiplantae; Streptophyta; Magnoliopsida; Apiales; Apiaceae
Description: long non-coding RNA (DCAR_LNC002386)
Source: RNAcentral
UUAUAUAUCCCUUUAAACUUAUCAGAUACCACGUAACACAUAAGCAUGCUUUGACUCUAACAUAUAGUCAAUCAUAUUCCACAUAACAUAUCACCAAUCAAUUAUCAUAUAAAUCCUUAUCGAAAAUCCGACAUCGUCUCGUCUAUGUAUAAGACUAUCCACCUGUUAUCCUAUCUCAAUCAUUAAUCAACCAACAAAAACCAAUAACUAUAAUCCAUAUAUUCUUAUCCAAUAUCAAUCAUACGAAUCAUUUAUCACUUCACAAUAUCAAAACUAACACGUACUUCACAUAAUCAUCACUUGAUAGCACUUAGAUCACAUAUUAUCACAUUAUGCAUACUUAUCAACAAUUAUUCACCUUAUAGACUCAGCCAUAUAGUCACAUCAUAUUAAAAUAGACGUUAUAAGCUUCUGUCUCUCUUUCGUUUCACUUGAUUCCGACUUACGGAUCAAAAGUUAUGCUCAAAACAGUUUUC